UAGGGAAUAUUGGGCAAUGGGCGAGAGCCUGACCCAGCCAUGCCGCGUGCAGGAAGAAGGCUUUCUGAGUCGUAAACUGCUUUUGACAGGGAAGAAUAAGCACUACGUGUAGUGUGAUGACGGUACCUGCAGAAUAAGCACCGGCUAACUCCGUGCCAGCAGCCGCGGUAAUACGGAGGGUGCGAGCGUUGUCCGGAUUUAUUGGGUUUAAAGGGGUGCGUAGGCGGCCGUGUAAGUCCGGGUGAAAGCCCGCUGCUCAACAACGGAACUGCCCUGGAUACUGCAUAGCUUGAGUACAGACGAGGUUGGCGGAAUGGACCGAGUAGCGGUGAAAUGCAUAGAUACGGUCCAGAACCCCGAUUGCGAAGGCAGCUGACUAGGCUGUUACUGACGCUGAGGCACGACAGCGUGGGGAGCGAACAGGAUUAGAUACCCUGGUAGUCCACGCCGUAAACGAUGGAUACUCGCUGCGAGCUAAAGAUUGUUCGUGGCUUA
RNAcentral lists this ribosomal RNA (495 nucleotides) under uncultured bacterium. Its description in RNAcentral is "bacterial SSU rRNA". It matches the Rfam family "Bacterial small subunit ribosomal RNA", at positions 355 to 850 of the family's 1533-position model. The record is from RNAcentral.